This 253-nucleotide ribosomal RNA is filed under the name uncultured bacterium. RNAcentral describes it as "partial 16S ribosomal RNA". It matches the Rfam family "Bacterial small subunit ribosomal RNA", at positions 524 to 776 of the family's 1533-position model. The record is from RNAcentral.
GACGAGGGAUCCUAGCGUUGUUCGGAAUCAUUGGGCGUAAAGCGGGUGUAGGCGGACUUAUAAGUCAGAUGUGAAAUCCCAGGGCUUAACCCUGGACGUGCAUUUGAUACUGCAAGUCUUGAGUGUGGUAGAGGUUACUGGAAUUCCUGGUGUAGUGGUGAAAUACGUAGAUAUCAGGAGGAAUACCGGAGGCGAAGGCGAGUAACUGGGCCAACACUGACGCUGAGAUCCGAAAGCGUGGGGAUCAAACAGG